This is a long non-coding RNA of Neogale vison (American mink), 939 nucleotides long. RefSeq lists it as uncharacterized. The record is from RefSeq and is a predicted model, not a curated record. Lineage: Eukaryota; Metazoa; Chordata; Mammalia; Carnivora; Mustelidae. The transcript has 3 exons.
UUAUCUUGUCCUGGCAAUUCUGCACCUCGCACUGGCCUUCGUGCGGCCUCUAACACGUGGCCCGAGCCAGCUGACGUCUGGCUUAGGGAACAUCUGAGCGAGCGGAGACCUGUGUGGGCAAGUGUCGGACUCUGGCGGGGAAAGAGAGGGUAGUUCAUUCUCUGCGACCGUGGAAUGAAAACGUACAACUCCGGGAACUGUGGAUCAGUAUAUGUGUCGCUGCCUGCUUCGGGCUCGUGCUGGGAACACGUGGUCUGUGCGCCAGGACCUGGCGUCUGCAAAGGCAACGAGGAGCACUACGAGAUGCGUAUUAAUACCUACCCGCAAAGAUACCAACGCUUCCAGAAGACUGGAAUUCAGGUUCUCCCACCUCGUGACUACCCCACCGACACAGAAUCAAAGGCCAAUUUCACUCACAGAAUUGUAAGAUCCAGUGCGGCUCUUCUCGCCUUCUGAAAGAGCAGAAGACAGUGGGGAAGACAGACUUGAGAAGGAAUGGCCAGUCCCAUGGACCAGGACGGCAGCCGGCAUGGCGGAGGCAGCAGCCUUCCACACUGGAACGGGAGGGGUGGGCGAUGGAUGGUGGAGAGGGAGCCCUGUCACUGAAGCCAGACCCCUCCGAGAUGGAUGACAAUUAUGCAAAUGACCAUAGCAGUUCACUGUCCUGCUCCCAUUCCCUUUUCCCUGCCUCUACUCCUCAAAUUUGAUAUCUACCAUGUGGUUUCAUUCCCAGCACAGCUGGACCGUUUUGGAAGGAAAAUCUCCUUGCUGUCCAUCGCAGCCAUGAAAAGUAAAUCCGAAGGGUGUUCACCGCACAAACUCAGCAUUUGUGUUACAUUCGCUUAGCCAAGUGCUUGGAGCUCACCGUGCCUUACAGGUGCAAAACCAGUCAAGGUCUGAGUGCAGUCUGACAGCAGGUCUAAUCAUUAUCACCUGUGA